This 555-nucleotide ribosomal RNA is filed under the name Conotrachelus sp. group 4 MB-2015. RNAcentral describes it as "partial 16S ribosomal RNA". The stretch from base 399 to 555 matches the Rfam family "Bacterial large subunit ribosomal RNA", at positions 2473 to 2630 of the family's 2925-position model. Lineage: Eukaryota; Metazoa; Arthropoda; Insecta; Coleoptera; Curculionidae. The record is from RNAcentral.
UUAUUAAAAACAUGUCUUUUUGAUUAUAAUUUAAAGUCUGGCCUGCCCAAUGAUUUAUAUUAAAUGGCCGCAGUAUAUUGACUGUGCAAAGGUAGCAUAAUCAUUAGUUUUUUAAUUGAAAGCUGGAAUGAAAGGUUAAAUGAAAAAAUAACUGUCUCUAUUUAAAUUUAUUAGAAUUUUAUUUUUAAGUAAAAAAGCUUAAAUACUCAUAAAAGACGAGAAGACCCUAUAGAGUUUUAUAUUUAUUAAUUUAUUUAAUUUUAGUAUUUUUUAUUUUAUUUUUUAGUAAAUAUUUGAUUGGGGUGAUAGAAAAAUUAAAUAAACUUUUUUUUAAUAAUUACAUUAAUUUAUGAAUAUUUGAUCCUUAAUUAAAGAUUAAAAGAUUAAAUUACCUUAGGGAUAACAGCGUAAUUUUUUUAGAGAGUUCUUAUCGAAAAAAGAGAUUGCGACCUCGAUGUUGGAUUAAAAUAAAUUUUUGGUGUAGAAGCUAAAAAAUUAGGUCUGUUCGACCUUUAAUAUUUUACAUGAUCUGAGUUUAAACCGGUGUGAGCCAGG